UCCGGUUCCCGUACGAUCACCGUAGUUAAGCCACGUCGAGUCUGGUCAGUACUUAGAUGGGUGACCGUUUCGGUAAUACCAGGUGCUGAAAU
This is a non-coding RNA of Acanthosepion pharaonis, 92 nucleotides long. The record is from the annotation of a GenBank genome assembly. Lineage: Eukaryota; Metazoa; Mollusca; Cephalopoda; Sepiida; Sepiidae.